RNAcentral lists this long non-coding RNA (2511 nucleotides) under Triticum aestivum (bread wheat). Its description in RNAcentral is "long non-coding RNA (TAES_LNC015249)". The record is from RNAcentral. Lineage: Eukaryota; Viridiplantae; Streptophyta; Magnoliopsida; Poales; Poaceae.
GUAAACGGAAAGAUUUCAUAUAUUUAAUCAACUCGGUUACAUUACAUGGAACACAAUCUGAAAAAGAUAUUACAUAAUCUCCUAUAUAUUAACCAUGAAAAAGAAGGUGAAAUGUUAAACUAUCUUGUAGUAGCCCCAUUCUUGAUCUUUCUAUCAACAACCUAGCCAUGCAUCAUCUUUGUCUUCAUCAGCCUUCAUGCUACUUAGCCCACCAAAACGCCAUAUAUUUAGGUACGGAGGGAGUAGAUGACAAGCUUCUCUAUGAACUUCUCUCGACGCCUUCUUUGACAUUGCUAUAGGAUGAACCACCACCACCCUGCACAUCACGAGUACUAGAACUGACUGGCAAAGCGCCACUACAAUAGAUUAAAUAAACAGAAUGAAAAUUCGACAUGUGGAGAUGGAAGCCGCAUGCAAAACUUAAAUAUUCUAGGAUUAAUCAUUUAUUGAAGGAAUGCUCAAUCAGUUCAGUGUACUGUAAAUGACCAAUACAAAUUCUUGUUGUUCCUUAUUCCUAGCAGAGGCUCGAUUUAAUUGUAACAAGAAUGUAUAACUGGGAAGUAGGCAUGCCAGUCUGUUAGGGACUCUUAAAGUUUGUCCCCUCAAUAUUUUUCUUUUCUUUUGCCAUAUGUCACAAACCAAACAUACAUUAGGACCAUAUAUAUCAAACAUAUAGACAUGCAUGUUGUCAUCAACAUGGUUCCCUCUUAGUACGAAAAAGGAAGUCUCAUCCUAAGAUCAAAGAUUAGCCACGUUAAGGCAUCUAGAUUAUAGCAUACAGAAAAAUAGUAAAUUGUAUACUGCAAGUGGGUAAUUGAAACUUUAAGAUAGCCACACACAUAUACUGUUAUUUUGUUGUCCAGCCAAUUAAAUAAAGAGUAACUUGAAGUAACCUCACAAAAAGAAAACUUGAACUAAGAUAAUGGAAACUUAUUGUGCCAUAUAACUUACAUUCAGGUGUGAAUUUCGUUCCAGAAAGCUUCUACAGACCAACAAAAAUCCCUUCGACAACAUCCUAUAUGGGUAAUUGGGAAUAUAGUUCGUGGAGAUAAUUUUAAAAAACUUGGUUUAUGUGUAUUUUGUCACCAGUUCCUCAAGGCAAGUCUAAAGCAACCCACAUUCAGGUAUCAUGUGAUAAGUUCAACAGAAGUUUCAGACAAUGAACAACUCACGUUAGAAUUUCUAUCUAAAGUGUUUUCUAUAUUAUAAGCACCUUUCAAAAAAACUUAACCAGAAGUGCAAAAUGGAGCUCGAACUCCAGGUAGCUCUUUAUCUGAAACAUCCAUGUGCAAAAAGUUUGGUGAAAUCACCAUAUUUGGGCAUUUUAUACUACUAGUCGUUAAACCGCGCAUUCACAUGGGCUAGUGUUUAUCUUGUGUGGCUUUGUGGGUUUUCAACUCUUAACUUACUACCUAGAAAUAUUUACCAGUAAUCUAUGUUUUGUGUGAUUUUUUCUACCAUAAAAUGAUUUUUUUCUUUCUAAAUUUGCAGUUCAACAUGGAACACGCUACCUAUAGUACAAUACUCGAGCAAUAAAAAUAAAUCGUCCAAAAGUUUUGACGUGACGACUUUCAUUUUCAGAUAUACUAAUCUUUUUUCUAUCAGGAAAUAACAAAUCUUUUUUCUUUUGCAGGGGAGAAAAUAAUUAAUCUGGUGUUCUUGUAAGCUUAAAAUACGGCCUGCUAUCUUAGUAAUAUUAACAUUGUAAUUGUUCGAACUGUUCACAUUGCAUUCAAGUUCUAGAUGAUUUAGAUACAAAUAAACUAACCAUCCCCAGCAAAAAAAUGUAACCAUAUUUUCAUAUAUAUUGAAGGGAAUUAUAAAAUUUUGUCCUACAAUAUAAGAAAUAAGUCGGGGUUUGCAACAUAUUGGGUACUAUACAGAUCAGUCCAAACGGACUGAAUUGACUCAUUCUCAUAUCCCGACAAACUGUUCUCAAACAGACUAUAUUGAAGCAUGUACAUUAGUAGAUUGAAGUAUGGUUUGAAAGAGCAUGGAAAAGCAUUAACACUACCAUGUAGUGAAAGUUCCACAAAAGCUUCAAGCACACUAUAUUGAUGCGUUGGCGAGAAUCAAAGCAUUACUCUGGUUCUCCGCAAGAGCACGUCUUUACAGCAAGCUAGAGGCCGACACAUGUAACCAGAUUGGAUUGAUCGUACUUAGCCCUUCCUUUAACCUAGGUGCAAGUGUUUCCUCCCCACGUGUUCCUUGCCCUCAGUCCUACUCACCUGCGGUACAGCGGGCAAUCUUUCCAUCUAGGCCAGCAGACAACACGCCACAAGUGAUCUGAUGUUCUGAUUCUACCACUGUAAGUCCUCUGCCUCUCCGCUUGACAACACCCUGCACAGAUCAUUGCCUGAAACAUAUAGCCAUCUGGUCAGUGAUGUUUUCAAGGGGACUAAUGAAAGACGCCAAGCUGCAUGAAAAAUAAUCAUACAUUGAAAUUAAUUAAUAAGAAGGGAAAACGGUGUGAGCUGUACAUAUAAUGAACAUUGAUGUAUAUAAUGAGAU